CCUGGCUCAGAUUGAACGCUGGCGGCAGGCUUAACACAUGCAAGUCGAGCGGGGGAAGGUAGCUUGCUACUGGACCUAGCGGCGGACGGGUGAGUAAUGCUUAGGAAUCUGCCUAUUAGUGGGGGACAACAUCUCGAAAGGGAUGCUAAUACCGCAUACGUCCUACGGGAGAAAGCAGGGGAUCUUCGGACCUUGCGCUAAUAGAUGAGCCUAAGUCGGAUUAGCUAGUUGGUGGGGUAAAGGCCUACCAAGGCGACGAUCUGUAGCGGGUCUGAGAGGAUGAUCCGCCACACUGGGACUGAGACACGGCCCAGACUCCUACGGGAGGCAGCAGUGGGGAAUAUUGGACAAUGGGGGGAACCCUGAUCCAGCCAUGCCGCGUGUGUGAAGAAGGCCUUAUGGUUGUAAAGCACUUUAAGCGAGGAGGAGGCUACUUUAGUUAAUACCUAGAGAUAGUGGACGUUACUCGCAGAAUAAGCACCGGCUAACUCUGUGCCAGCAGCCGCGGUAAUACAGAGGGUGCGAGCGUUAAUCGGAUUUACUGGGCGUAAAGCGUGCGUAGGCGGCUUAUUAAGUCGGAUGUGAAAUCCCCGAGCUUAACUUGGGAAUUGCAUUCGAUACUGGUGAGCUAGAGUAUGGGAGAGGAUGGUAGAAUUCCAGGUGUAGCGGUGAAAUGCGUAGAGAUCUGGAGGAAUACCGAUGGCGAAGGCAGCCAUCUGGCCUAAUACUGACGCUGAGGUACGAAAGCAUGGGGAGCAAACAGGAUUAGAUACCCUGGUAGUCCAUGCCGUAAACGAUGUCUACUAGCCGUUGGGGCCUUUGAGGCUUUAGUGGCGCAGCUAACGCGAUAAGUAGACCGCCUGGGGAGUACGGUCGCAAGACUAAAACUCAAAUGAAUUGACGGGGGCCCGCACAAGCGGUGGAGCAUGUGGUUUAAUUCGAUGCAACGCGAAGAACCUUACCUGGCCUUGACAUACUAGAAACUUUCCAGAGAUGGAUUGGUGCCUUCGGGAAUCUAGAUACAGGUGCUGCA
RNAcentral lists this ribosomal RNA (1033 nucleotides) under Acinetobacter baumannii. Its description in RNAcentral is "bacterial SSU rRNA". It matches the Rfam family "Bacterial small subunit ribosomal RNA", at positions 18 to 1045 of the family's 1533-position model. Lineage: Bacteria; Pseudomonadati; Pseudomonadota; Gammaproteobacteria; Moraxellales; Moraxellaceae. The record is from RNAcentral.